GAUGAAGAACGCAGCGAAAUGCGAUACGUAAUGUGAAUUGCAAAUUCAGUGAAUCAUCGAGUCUUUUAACGCACAUUGCGCCCCCUGGUAUUCCGGGGGGCAUGCCUGUCCGAGCGUCAUUGCUGCCCUCAAGCACGGCUUGUGUGUUGGGCCCCGUCCUCCGAUCCCGGGGGACGGGCCCGAAAGGCAGCGGCGGCACCGCGUCCGGUCCUCGAGCGUAUGGGGCUUUGUCACCCGCUCUGUAGGCCCGGCCGGCGCUUGCCGAUCAACCCAAAUUUUUAUCCAGGUUGACCUCGGAUCAGGUAGGGAUACCCGCUGAACUUAAGCAUAUCAAUAAGCGGAGGA
This 345-nucleotide unclassified non-coding RNA is filed under the name soil metagenome. Its description in RNAcentral is "partial contains 5.8S ribosomal RNA, internal transcribed spacer 2, and large subunit ribosomal RNA". The stretch from base 1 to 119 matches the Rfam family "5.8S ribosomal RNA", at positions 35 to 154 of the family's 154-position model. The record is from RNAcentral.